RNAcentral lists this transfer RNA (72 nucleotides) under Bacillus wiedmannii. RNAcentral describes it as "transfer RNA-Glu". It matches the Rfam family "tRNA". From Rfam's summary of the family: Transfer RNA (tRNA) molecules are approximately 80 nucleotides in length. Their secondary structure includes four short double-helical elements and three loops (D, anti-codon, and T loops). Further hydrogen bonds mediate the characteristic L-shaped molecular structure. tRNAs have two regions of fundamental functional importance: the anti-codon, which is responsible for specific mRNA codon recognition, and the 3' end, to which the tRNAs corresponding amino acid is attached (by aminoacyl-tRNA synthetases). tRNAs cope with the degeneracy of the genetic code in two manners: having more than one tRNA (with a specific anti-codon) for a particular amino acid; and 'wobble' base-pairing, i.e. permitting non-standard base-pairing at the 3rd anti-codon position. Lineage: Bacteria; Bacillati; Bacillota; Bacilli; Caryophanales; Bacillaceae. The record is from RNAcentral.
GGCCCGUUGGUCAAGUGGUUAAGACACCGCCCUUUCACGGCGGUAACACGGGUUCGAAUCCCGUACGGGNNN